RNAcentral lists this ribosomal RNA (429 nucleotides) under Actinomycetes bacterium. RNAcentral's name for it is "Actinobacteria bacterium partial 16S ribosomal RNA". It matches the Rfam family "Bacterial small subunit ribosomal RNA", at positions 355 to 776 of the family's 1533-position model. Lineage: Bacteria; Bacillati; Actinomycetota; Actinomycetes. The record is from RNAcentral.
UAGGGAAUCUUCCGCAAUGGGCGAAAGCCUGACGGAGCAACGCCGCGUGAGUGAUGAAGGUCUUCGGAUCGUAAAACUCUGUUAUUAGGGAAGAACAAAUGUGUAAGUAACUAUGCACGUCUUGACGGUACCUAAUCAGAAAGCCACGGCUAACUACGUGCCAGCAGCCGCGGUAAUACGUAGGUGGCAAGCGUUAUCCGGAAUUAUUGGGCGUAAAGCGCGCGUAGGCGGUUUUUUAAGUCUGAUGUGAAAGCCCACGGCUCAACCGUGGAGGGUCAUUGGAAACUGGAAAACUUGAGUGCAGAAGAGGAAAGUGGAAUUCCAUGUGUAGCGGUGAAAUGCGCAGAGAUAUGGAGGAACACCAGUGGCGAAGGCGACUUUCUGGUCUGUAACUGACGCUGAUGUGCGAACGCGUGGGGAUCAAACAGG